RNAcentral lists this long non-coding RNA (1010 nucleotides) under Salmo salar (Atlantic salmon). RNAcentral describes it as "lncRNA (ENSSSAG00000119486.1)". The record is from RNAcentral. Lineage: Eukaryota; Metazoa; Chordata; Actinopteri; Salmoniformes; Salmonidae.
AGGGUGUCAGGGGUUAUAGAGGCAGUAGUAGUUGGAGUGUCAGGGGUUAUAGGAGCAGUAGUAGUUGGAGUGUCAGGGGUUAUAGGGGCAGUAGUAGUUGGAGUGUCAGGGGUUAUAGGGGCAGUAGUAGUUGGAGGGUCAGGGGUUAUAGGGGCAGUAGUAGUUGGAGGGUCAGGGGUUAUAGAGGCAGUAGUAGUUGGAGGGUCAGGGGUUAAAGGGGCAGUAUAAGUUGGAGUGUCAGGGGUUAUAGGAGCAGUAGUAGUUGGAGUGUCAGGGGUUAUAGGAGCAGUAGUAGUUGGAGUGUCAGGGGUUAUAGGAGCAGUAGUAGUUGGAGUGUCAGGGGUUAUAGGAGCAGUAGUAGUUGGAGUGUCAGGGGGUUAUAGGGGCAGUAGUAGUUGGAGUGUCAGGGGUUAUAGGAGCAGUAGUAGUUGGAGUGUCAGGGGUUAUAGGGGCAGUAGUAGUUGGAGUGUCAGGGGUUAUAGGAGCAGUAGUAGUUGGAGUGUCGGGGGUUAUAGGGGCAGUAGUUGUUGGAGGGUCAGGGGUUAUAGGGGCAGUAGUAGUUGGAGUGUCAGGGGUUAUAGGGGCAGUAGUAGUUGGAGUGUCAGGGGUUAUAGGGGCAGUAGUAGUUGGAGUGUCAGGGGUUAUAGGGGCAGUAGUAGUUGGAGGGUCAGGGGUUAUAGGGGCAGUAGUAGUUGGAGUGUCGGGGGUUAUAGGGGCAGUAGUAGUUGGAGUGUCAGGGGUUAUAGAGGCAGUAGUAGUUGGAGUGUUAAGGGUUAUAGGAGCAGUAGUAGUUAGGGUGUCAGAUGUUAUAGAGGCAGUAGUAGUUGGAGUGUCAGGGGUUAUAGAGGCAGUAGUAGUUGGAGGGUCAGGGGUUAUAGGGGCAGUAGUAGUUGGAGUGUCGGGGGUUAUAGGGGCAGUAGUAGUUGGAGUGUCAGGGGUUAUAGGAGCAGUAGUAGUUGGAGGGUCAGGGGUUAUAGGGGCAGUAGUAGUUGGAGUGUCAGGGGUUAUAG